GGAGGUCGAUCGAGGUACAAGUAAGGUUUCGGAAUAACCGAAACACAGAUCCGAAAAGAAUACCAGCUCGAGGAUUCGAAAGGAUAGGAAGACAAUUGGAGAGUCAACACACUAUCAACUAGACAAGCUUUGGUAUAAAGACUUUGUUUGUUUUGUUCAAUGGCAUGUAUAGUAUUUUUGAGUAUUUUGUUAUAUGUGUUAUUUGAUUUGCCAAAUGAAGGCAUGUAGAAUAUGUUUAUCUCUUUAUAUAUGCCUAUGAAAAUUGGCUUAA
Molecule: long non-coding RNA, 271 nt
Organism: Gossypium arboreum
Lineage: Eukaryota; Viridiplantae; Streptophyta; Magnoliopsida; Malvales; Malvaceae
Exons: 2
Source: RefSeq, a predicted model, not a curated record